Molecule: long non-coding RNA, 4844 nt
Filed under: Trifolium pratense (red clover)
Lineage: Eukaryota; Viridiplantae; Streptophyta; Magnoliopsida; Fabales; Fabaceae
Description: long non-coding RNA (TPRA_LNC007385)
Source: RNAcentral
AUUCCUAUCGUCAUAGUAAAACAAAUAAUUAAAAUCAUUACACAAUUGAUCAAGUCAUGCAAAGCAUUAAGCACAAAGAAUAAUUGAAGAAACUAACUUCGUAAUUCAUAUAUCAAUUCAUAUGAUAAUCACAUUGUUCAAGAAAAAUAACAAUUAGAAUCCCUAAAGACCAAUCAUUAAAAUUUAGCUAGACAUCUAUUACAAUAUAAGAAAACUAAUGACAAUGGUAAAAUCAGUUUUGCCCUUGCUUAAUAAAAUGCCACCUGUCCUUUUGAAGGGUAUUUUGAGUCCAAAAAUUAAGUAAUGGAACCAGAUAUGUGCCUAACCGAGCCAUAUUGCUGGCUAACUAAGCCAAAUAGCUAUUUUGUGAGACAAAAUACCACUUUAUUGCAAGCCAUGGUUCCACUUAAACUAUACCAAUUGGAUUUCAAUUGGUGGCUUUAUGUCACAUCACAAUUUUUCCUUUCAAAAAAGGACCAAAAAUUGAUUUUUCCCAAAACACUUUCUCUUUCUAUCAAACUUUCACCAGAUUUCAAUGUUGACCAAAUUCAAAAUUCAAAAUUUUUUUCCCCUCUUUCAUUUUUUCAAAAUUCUAUAUCAUCUUUAACACUUUUUUCAUUUCACAUUUCAUUCAUUUUCCUCUUCUUUAUCUGACUUUAUAUUUGUGCAUUACUUCUCUUCAUUUUUUUCCUAAUAUACAUUUUUGAAUAAAUCUCAUCUUAAUCUUCUUUGUCUAAUCAGAUGAAUUUUUUUUCUUUCAUGAAAGUUUAACAAUCAAACAGCAGCAGAGAUAAAUAAAAUAUAAAGAAAUAAGAGGAAUAACUUCAUUUUGGUAACUUUUUAUUAUCUUCUCAUCUUAACUUCAACUUUCUAACCAUUAAACUUGGUUUGGUUUUGCAGGAACAAUAUUGAUGUCCUUAUUUCUACAACAAACCACAAAGAAGGACAUGGGUAAGUAAAUAAUAAAAGUUUUAAUUUGAUAUAUUGAUUUUAUUUACCUUACUUUCCUUUUCGCACGGUUCAUUAUGUUAAAAAAGAAAUUUUUAUUUGAAAAAACAACUGGAAAAAUAUACUUGAUUAAAUUUGAGAAAUUGAAAAACAAAAUUAUUAUGAUUUUUUUUCCUUGAACUUCAUGACAGCCAAAUAAGUUCGUCUAGCGCGGGUAUGUAGACGAAACUCAUUUUCUUCACUAUAUUUAGUUUUGGUUACUGUUGUUGAUCCAUAUGAAUAAAUGUUUUGUUUUCACUAUAUUUAAAGGUUCAAGAUUAAAGAAAACUUUUUUUAAUAGUUUAAUUUUUUUUGUUUUGAUGUAUAAAUUCAUCAAAACUUUUUUUUAAUAAUGAAUCAAAAAUUUUGAGGACCGAUUUAUUUUGUAGGUCUCAAGAGUAUAAAUAUUGAAGGUGCAAGAUGAGAAAGAGAUGGUGAGGGAUAUGCCGUGAACAGAGACACAGUGGGUUGAGAUCUAGAAAAUUUGUUUUAACGUUAGAUGUAGAAAAAAAAAAUAUGUAACAAAAAAAAUUAGAAGAAAAAAAAAUCAACUAUUUCUCAUUCAUGAACUUAUUUUAUUUUAUUAGUUUUGAUUAUUUCACUUUUAGUUGUAUAGAAAAAGAAAGAAGAUGCAAAAUAAGAAAUAUAUAAAAAAAGAAAUAAAAUAAAAAUUACUACAGAGGCUAGAAAACAACAGAAACAUCUUUUCCUAUAAAUUUCCAAGAUCCAACAAAUAAAUAACAAAAAAAAUUAUAUAAUUACAGUAAUGAAAUCAUGGGAAAUAUAUUCAAAAGAUGAGCAUGACUUCUACAAACAAAGGACAAAAAAACAACUUACAAAGAAAAAGAAAUUCAAACCAGAUAUGAUUUUUUCCCCUUCUUUUGUUGUCUUUGAUUUUGUUCUUGGAUGUAAAAGUACACUGAAGAAGAUGAAGUCCCACAAUGUUUUCGGUAGGAUGGAGGAGAAGACAACAACACCAAACACAUAUUUUGGUCACGGUCACAGUGUUUACCGGCACGGUGGCCGCCGACGAAGGUGUUCUGAUCUUAAAUUUUCUUUGUGGGUAUUGUAAAGGAGAUGAAGGAGAUUAUUUAUAUGGUGGUGAUAUUUCAAAAGAUUUUCUAUGGAGGUCAAGAUCUAGGUGAGAAAGUGAUAAUUAAGAUUUAAAAAAAAAAUUGUGCAAAGGUGAAGAAAUGGAACAUGUUGGUCGUGAGAAGAAGAAGAGGAGAUGUUGAUGAAGGAGAGUUUAUGAUAUUGAAGGAAGAUGUUGGAAGAAAAAAAAAGAAAAAAAAAAGGGAAGGAAUGGAGCGGCUGNNNNNNNNNNNNNNNNNNNNNNNGAAGUGAAAAUUUAGGGUUUGGGAUAAUAAUAAUAAUAAUAAUAAUAAUAAUAAUAAUAAUAAUAAUAAUAAUAAUAAUAAUAAUAAUAAUAAUUUAUGUUUGGGUCAUGAAUUAUGGGCUUGGGCUGCAAUAUGAUCUAUUCUCACCAAAUAAUGAACUUUAUUCUAAUUAUUUAUUUAUUUUUUUUGACAACUUUACUCUAAUUAUUAUUUUUACAAAAUCAUUUUUAUUAAUUAAUAAGUAAAAAUAUAUUUUUAUUGAUUUCUUCAAAAAAUAAUUAUAUUACAUAUUUAAAAAGUAAAAUAAGGGAAAAAAAUAUGUUUCCAAUUGAAAUACGGGAAACUUUUAACUAUAAUGUAUUAAAUAAGUGAUUCAUGGAUAAAAUAUACUAUCAUUUCUUAUGAUUCACCACCAUAACCAACAACUCCUUUCAACAAUUCAAGAGCAAAUCAAGAGUAAUCAAUGAUUAAUUUUUAAUUUUUCGAUUUGAUAGAAAACUUAUUUUUUAGAUCUGCAAUUUUUCUAAGACUGAGUUAAUGAUUUUCAAAAUUAACAAGGGGAUUCUUCUUAUUUUUUGAUUGCAAAUGAAACCCAAAAAAGAACCUUCGUUUUGCAUUAUGUAACGAGAAACAUGGGUUGGGUAACAUUUGAGUUGAUUAAGACCCUUUUUGCGGUCACAAUUGUAGAAGAUGAGGUUCUGAAAAAAAGAAAGUGGAAAAUAAUUUAGUGUGGAUAGUCUAUGAUAAUCAUGCCCAGUCCUUUUUUUGUCAACGGUGGAUGAUGGAGUUGACAAGGGACAGAUUUGAAACAUUAGCCACGUGGCAUUUUUAAAUAGAGUUAACUGAAAAUUUAACGGAAAUGACUAACUAAAGAAAACGGUGAAAACGUAAGGGACCAAAUUGAUACGUUUUAAACGUAAGGGACCAAAUUAAAAUCUAAAAUAAACGUAAGGGACCAAAUAUGUAGUUAAACCUAAAUCAUUUAUUUAUUGUUAUGAAUCCAAAUGUUCAUAACAAUAGGUAGAAGAACAAAUUAUGUUACUUAUCCUGAAUCAAUGACAAUGUUGUUUCAUGUUUACAAGCAUGAAAUGAUUUUCGUUAGGGACCUCCUCAUCUUCUGACAACUUAUAUUAAUCUUGAACAAAGUUGACCGGAGUGGAGCUUUUGUGGCAGAGCUCUGGUGUGAACUUCACAUAGAUGCCAAAAAAAUACAGAUUUAAACUAGAUAUGAUUUUUUUUUUUUAUUCUUUUGAUGUCUUUGAUUCCUUUGUUGUUGGUCUGUAGAGAGAGCUGUUCAUAGCUUUAUCAUAGAUGAACAGUUGAAGGUUGAAAAAUGCACAUCCACUAAUUUUCAAGAUUACUCCUUUUUAAAAUACACUUUAAUAUAAAUAUAGAGGAGAAAGAGAGCAUAAAAAAUAUGUAUUUUAUUUUGUCAAAGUUUACUGGACGGAGGGGGCGAUGGCGGAAUGAUAGCGGCGGCUAGGUUUUCAAAGGGAAGGUUAAGAAACUUCAACGAGAAAGAGAGAGAAACAAAAUCUAAAAUGUUAAAACAAGUAAUGAUUUUAGUAGCAUGUAACCUAAUGGGUUUAUGUCAUGCUGGGCCUAAAACACAUUCCAUAUUUCUUAAGCCCAUAUUGUAUUUUUUCAUUUAAUAUUAUUCAAUUAAAAUGUUUAAGGUCUAAAAAUGUAACAUAAGGGGAAAGAGAAACUUAAUAAAAAAAAAUAAGAUGAUAAAAUAACUAUUUUUCCCAAAAAAAAUAAUUUAUUUUGCACACGAUAAAUUCUAAUUGAUCUAAAUUUUAAAAUAACUAUGGUAUAUGACACAAGUUUAAAAAUAUAAUAAUUUCAAUAUAAUUAUCAUAUGAGAGACAAGUUUUAACUAAUAAUUAUCAUACGAACGACAAAUUUUAAUUAAGAAUCAUCAUAUAUGGGACAAAUUCUAACUGAUAAAAGUUUCAAAAGAAUAAUCAUCAUAUAAGACAAGUUCUAUAACUAAUAACAAUUUCAAAAAAUUAUCUUAUACGGGAGAAAUACUAACUUGCAAAAUAAUUCAUACAUGACACAAGUUAUAAUAAUUUCAAAAUAACUAUCAUAUAUACUAACCAAAUCAUAAAUGUGAUAAAUUAUGCUAUGGAUUUUUAUAAUCGAUAACAAUUCCAAAUUAAAUAUAAUAUAUAUAUUAAAUAAAUUAUACAUUAGAUAAAUUAUACCAUUGACAAUAUAUGGGGAACAAGGUACUUGCUGAUGAAAAACUUGAAUUAACUAUAAUAUACGGGGAACAAGUUGUUGUUGAUGAAAAAAUUAUCAACUACUAUAUACAAGGAACAAGUUAUUGUUGAUGAAAUUUUUUAAUUAACUAUUAUAUACGGGGAACAAAUUUUUACUCAUGAAAAAUUUAAAUGAUACGGGGAACAAGUCGUUGUUCAUAAAAAAAUUAAAUUAACCAUUAUAUACGAAAAACAAAUUGUUGUUGAUGCAAUUUUUUAAUUAACUCUUAUACACGGAGAGGUUGGAAAAAAA